RNAcentral lists this ribosomal RNA (458 nucleotides) under Theileria orientalis. RNAcentral describes it as "SSU rRNA". It matches the Rfam family "Eukaryotic small subunit ribosomal RNA", at positions 486 to 984 of the family's 1831-position model. Lineage: Eukaryota; Apicomplexa; Aconoidasida; Piroplasmida; Theileriidae. The record is from RNAcentral.
CGGGGCUUAAUGUCUUGUAAUUGGAAUGAUGGGAAUUUAAACCUCUUCCAGAGUAUCAAUUGGAGGGCAAGUCUGGUGCCAGCAGCCGCGGUAAUUCCAGCUCCAAUAGCGUAUAUUAAAAUUGUUGCAGUUAAAAAGCUCGUAGUUGAAUUUCUGCUGCAUUACAUAUCUCUUGUUUGAGUUUGUUUUUGUGGCUUAUUUCGGUUUGAUUUUUUCUUUCCGGAUGAUUACUUUGAGAAAAUUAGAGUGCUCAAAGCAGGCUUUCGCCUUGAAUAGUUUAGCAUGGAAUAAUAAAGUAGGACUUUGGUUCUAUUUUGUUGGUUUUAGGUACCAAAGUAAUGGUUAAUAGGAACAGUUGGGGGCAUUCGUAUUUAACUGUCAGAGGUGAAAUUCUUAGAUUUGUUAAAGACGAACUACUGCGAAAGCAUUUGCCAAGGAUGUUUUCAUUAAUCAAGAAC